GACGAACGCUGGCGGCGUGCUUAACACAUGCAAGUCGAACGGUAAGGCCCUUCGGGGUACACGAGUGGCGAACGGGUGAGUAACACGUGGGUGAUCUGCCCUGCACUUUGGGAUAAGCCCGGGAAACUGGGUCUAAUACCGGAUAGGACCACUGCCUGCAUGGGUGGUGGUGGAAAGCUUUUGCGGUGUGGGAUGGGCCCGCGGCCUAUCAGCUUGUUGGUGGGGUGAUGGCCUACCAAGGCGACGACGGGUAGCCGGCCUGAGAGGGUGACCGGCCACACUGGGACUGAGAUACGGCCCAGACUCCUACGGGAGGCAGCAGUGGGGAAUAUUGCACAAUGGGCGCAAGCCUGAUGCAGCGACGCCGCGUGAGGGAUGACGGCCUUCGGGUUGUAAACCUCUUUCAGCACCGACGAAGCGCAAGUGACGGUAGGUGCAGAAGAAGGACCGGCCAACUACGUGCCAGCAGCCGCGGUAA
RNAcentral lists this ribosomal RNA (478 nucleotides) under uncultured bacterium. Its description in RNAcentral is "partial 16S ribosomal RNA". It matches the Rfam family "Bacterial small subunit ribosomal RNA", at positions 28 to 523 of the family's 1533-position model. The record is from RNAcentral.